GCCCCCGGCGCGCCUGGCGCUGUCUGGCCGGUCGCUUGGCCCGGGUGGAAGCUAUGAGCGCGCCGCCAGCGGGGCUCCUCGGAGGCGGCGGGGCAGGCCCGAGCUGGGCUCCUGUGGCCGGGGUGGGAGGAGAAGAGGCCGCGCGGCACGGUCAUAGUGGUAGGAAGCAAAUGAUUUCAAAGCCCAGAUGAUGACAGAGACCCAUCUUGGAAGGGGCUUGGAUCCCUGAGUCACUGCUUGGAGGAGAGCUGCCUGAGAUGGCUUCCUGAUCAUGAACAUCCACGUUGGACUUUGCCUGAGCAAGGAAUAAACAUCCUAUCUUAAGACAAUGUGAUUUGGAGUUUUUGGCAUAUGACCAGCUUCAAUUACGCUGCAUAAUUUACAUGUCUUUUCCCUCUUUCCCAGGUAACUCAUAUGCCUCCCAGAUGUUUAUAUUUGGAAAGAGGGAAGAAGACCCAAAUAAUAACUGAGAUCAAAUUUCUCACCAACUCACUGGGACUCUGAGAGAUGCAUUUCAUUUGAUUUAAAGAAAAUAAAUUACUUUGAAACUAGACUUGA
This 558-nucleotide long non-coding RNA is filed under the name Homo sapiens (human). Its description in RNAcentral is "HSALNT0306767". The record is from RNAcentral. Lineage: Eukaryota; Metazoa; Chordata; Mammalia; Primates; Hominidae.